This 252-nucleotide ribosomal RNA is filed under the name uncultured bacterium. RNAcentral's name for it is "partial 16S ribosomal RNA". It matches the Rfam family "Bacterial small subunit ribosomal RNA", at positions 524 to 776 of the family's 1533-position model. The record is from RNAcentral.
UACGUAGGGUGCAAGCGUUGUCCGAAUUAUUGGGCGUAAAGAGCUCGUAGGCGGUUUGUCGCGUCUGCUGUGAAAACCCGGGGCUCAACCCCGGGCCUGCAUUCGAUACGGGCAGACUAGAGUUCGGUAGGGGAGUCUGGAAUUCCUGGUGUAGCGGUGAAAUGCGCAGAUAUCAGGAGGAACGCCGGUGGCGAAGGCGGGACUCUGGGCCGAUACUGACGCUGAGGAGCGAAAGCGUGGGGAGCAAACAGG